Molecule: transfer RNA, 63 nt
Filed under: Paranemertes cf. peregrina SCS-2010
Lineage: Eukaryota; Metazoa; Nemertea; Enopla; Monostilifera; Emplectonematidae
Description: tRNA-Leu
Source: RNAcentral
GUAGUGUUGGCAGAGUAGUGUAUUUGUUUUAGGUGCAGAAAAUGUGAGGUUUCACACACUAUA